GGAGGCACAUCCGUCACUGGUGGACGGCCCGGUCUUCAAAACCGGUGAGGGGGAUGAGAAAUCCCCCUGGAAGGUUCGAUUCCUUUGUGCCUCCGCCA
RNAcentral lists this transfer RNA (98 nucleotides) under Geobacteraceae bacterium. Its description in RNAcentral is "tRNA-Sec". It matches the Rfam family "Selenocysteine transfer RNA". Lineage: Bacteria; Pseudomonadati; Thermodesulfobacteriota; Desulfuromonadia; Geobacterales; Geobacteraceae. The record is from RNAcentral.